UGUUUCGGCUAGGGGGCCAUCCCGGCUUACCAACCCGAUGCAAACUGCGAAUACCGGAGAAUGUUAUCACGGGAGACACACGGCGGGUGCUAACGUCCGUCGUGAAGAGGGAAACAACCCAGACCGCCAGCUAAGGUCCCAAAGUCAUGGUUAAGUGGGAAACGAUGUGGGAAGGCCCAGACAGCCAGGAUGUUGGCUUAGAAGCAGCCAUCAUUUAAAGAAAGCGUAAUAGCUCACUGGUCGAGUCGGCCUGCGCGGAAGAUGUAAC
RNAcentral lists this ribosomal RNA (268 nucleotides) under Salmonella enterica subsp. enterica. RNAcentral's name for it is "partial 23S ribosomal RNA". It matches the Rfam family "Bacterial large subunit ribosomal RNA", at positions 911 to 1176 of the family's 2925-position model. Lineage: Bacteria; Pseudomonadati; Pseudomonadota; Gammaproteobacteria; Enterobacterales; Enterobacteriaceae. The record is from RNAcentral.